Molecule: ribosomal RNA, 1965 nt
Filed under: human gut metagenome
Description: bacterial LSU rRNA
Rfam family: Bacterial large subunit ribosomal RNA
Source: RNAcentral
GGAAGUAAACAAGGGCGAAAGGUGGAUGCCUAGGCUCUCGGAGGCGAAGAAGGACGUGAUAAGCUGCGAAAAGCUGCGGUAAGGAGCAAAUAUCCUGUGACCCGCAGAUUUCCGAAUGGGGCAACCCAUCAACGCAAGUUGAUAUACCGCCAAGCGGUAAGCAAACGCGGGGAACUGAAACAUCUCAUUACCCGUAGGAAGAGAAAAUAAGAAUGAUUCCGCAAGUAGUGGCGAGCGAACGCGGAAGAGCCCAAACCGGUUCCGUUUCGGCGGGGCCGGGGUAGAAGGACCGACAGAAGGACAAAGGAAGCAUAGCCGAACAGUAUUGGAAAAUACGAUCAGAGACGGUGAUAAUCCGGUAGGCGAAAUGCGGAGCUUGACAGUCGGUAUCCUGAGUAGUGCAGGACACGAGAAAUCCGGUACGAAUCAGCGGGGACCAUCCCGUAAGGCUAAAUACUCCCGAGAGACCGAUAGCGCACCAGUACUGUGAAGGAAAGGUGAAAAGAACCUCGAACAGAGGAGUGAAAAAGACCCUGAAACCAUUCGCCUACAAGCGGUCGGAGCCACUACGUGUGGUGACGGCGUGCCUUUUGCAUAAUGAACCUACGAGUUACCCAUACCGGCCAGAUUAAGCGAUUCAGUCGCGGAGUCGAAGCGAAAGCGAGUCCUAACAAGGCGGAUAGUCGGUAUGAGUAGACGCGAAACCAAGUGAUCUACCCAUGAGCAGGUUGAAGGUUAGGUAACACUAACUGGAGGACCGCACCGGUAAACGUUGAAAAGUUUUCGGAUGACUUGUGGGUAGGAGUGAAAGGCCAAUCAAACUUGGAGAUAGCUCGUACUCCCCGAAAUGUAUUUAGGUGCAGCCUCGGGCGAGAGUGGCGGAGGUAGAGCGACCGAUAGGAUGCGAGGGCUUCACCGCCUAUCAAGUCCUGCCGAACUCCGAAUGCCGCCCACUCGAUGUCCGGGAGUAAGGGCGCGGGUGCUAAGGUCCGCGUCCGAGAGAGGAACAACUCAGACCACCGUCUAAGGCCCCCAAAUCCGGGCCAAGUUGAAGACAAUAACGAAGUGCGGCCGCAGAGACAGCCAGGAUGUUGGCUUGGAAGCAGCCAUUCAUUUAAAGAGUGCGUAACAGCUCACCGGUCGAGCGGCCGCGCAUGGAUAAUAAUCGGGCAUAAGUCCGGUGCCGAAGACGUGGAAUCACACCUUGCGUGUGGUUGGUAGGGGAGCAUUCCAUACGGCGUUGAAUGCGUGCCUCGAGGCAUGCUGGAGCGUAUGGAAAAGCAAAUGUAGGUAUAAGUAACGAUAAAGGGGGCGGAAAACCCCCUCGCCGUAAGACCAAGGUUUCCUGAUCAACGCUAAUCGGAUCAGGGUCAGUCGGGACCUAAGCCGCACCCGCGAGGGGCAGGCGAUGGAAGAAGCGGUUAAUAUUCCGCUACCGGCACUGGCUGCGACGGAGAGACGGAGAAGUGACACGCCCGCGCGCUGACGGAAUAGCGCGUUGAAGGGUGUAGGCGCAGAGGGGCGCAGGCAAAUCCACGCCCCGAGCCGAGACCCGACAGUACAGCGAGCCCCCGGGCGAGCUGACAGCGGCGGUAACCAUGCUCCCUAGAAAAUCUUCUAAGCCCCAGGCCAGAGCCGCCCGUACCGUAAACCGACACAGGUGGUCGGGUAGAAUAUACCAAGGCGCUCGAGUGAUUCACGGUUAAGGAACUAGGCAAACUGACCCCGUAACUUCGGGAUAAGGGGUCCCGUCCUCCGGGACGGGCGCAGAGAAUAGGUCCAGGCAACUGUUUAACAAAAACACAGGGCUGUGCGAAAUUGAAAGAUGAAGUAUACAGCCUGACACCUGCCCGGUGCCGGAAGGUUAAGAGGAGAGGUCAUCGCGAGAGAAGCCUUGAAUUGAAGCCCCGGUAAACGGCGGCCGUAACUAUAACGGUCCUAAGGUAGCGAAAUUCCUUGUCGGGU